This 430-nucleotide ribosomal RNA is filed under the name uncultured bacterium. RNAcentral's name for it is "bacterial SSU rRNA". It matches the Rfam family "Bacterial small subunit ribosomal RNA", at positions 355 to 776 of the family's 1533-position model. The record is from RNAcentral.
UGGGGAAUUGUUCGCAAUGGGCGCAAGCCUGACGACGCAACGCCGCGUGGAGGACGAAGAUCUUCGGGUUGUAAACUCCUGUCGAGCGGGACGAACAGCGCUCGGGUUAAUACCCCGGACGCCUGACGGUACCGCUAAAGGAAGCCCCGGCUAACUCCGUGCCAGCAGCCGCGGUAAUACGGGGGGGGCAAGCGUUGUUCGGAAUUACUGGGCGUAAAGGGCUCGUAGGCGGCCAGCCAAGUCGGACGUGAAAUCCCUCGGCUUAACCGGGGAACUGCGUCCGAUACUGGUUAGCUUGAAGCCGGGAGAGGGAUGCGGAAUUCCAGGUGUAGCGGUGAAAUGCGUAGAUAUCUGGAGGAACACCGGUGGCGAAGGCGGCAUCCUGGACCGGUCUUGACGCUGAGGAGCGAAAGCUAGGGGAGCAAACGGG